Molecule: transfer RNA, 68 nt
Filed under: human gut metagenome
Also listed under: 1 other name
Rfam family: tRNA
About the family: Transfer RNA (tRNA) molecules are approximately 80 nucleotides in length. Their secondary structure includes four short double-helical elements and three loops (D, anti-codon, and T loops).
Source: RNAcentral
UGAUGUGGCUCAGUCGGUAGAGCAACUGAUUCGUAAUCGGUAGGUCGCGGGUUCGAUUCCCGCCAUCA